RNAcentral lists this ribosomal RNA (496 nucleotides) under uncultured bacterium. Its description in RNAcentral is "bacterial SSU rRNA". It matches the Rfam family "Bacterial small subunit ribosomal RNA", at positions 15 to 507 of the family's 1533-position model. The record is from RNAcentral.
GAUCCUGGCUCAGAUUAAACGCUGGCGGCAUGCCUUACACAUGCAAGUCGAACGGCAGCACGGGGGCAACCUGGUGGCGAGUGGCGAACGGGUGAGUAAUGCAUCGGAACGUGCCAUUGAGUGGGGGAUAACGUAGCGAAAGUUGCGCUAAUACCGCAUAUUCUGUGAGCAGGAAAGCAGGGGACCGCAAGGCCUUGCGCUCUUUGAGCGGCCGAUGUCAGAUUAGCUAGUUGGUGAGGUAACGGCUUACCAAGGCGACGAUCUGUAGCGGGUCUGAGAGGAUGAUCCGCCACACUGGAACUGAGACACGGUCCAGACUCCUACGGGAGGCAGCAGUGGGGAAUUUUGGACAAUGGGCGCAAGCCUGAUCCAGCCAUGCCGCGUGAGUGAAGAAGGCCUUCGGGUUGUAAAGCUCUUUCGGCCGGGAAGAAAUCGCAUGGGUUAAUACCCUGUGUGGAUGACGGUACCGGAAUAAGAAGCACCGGCUAACUACGUG